Poecilia reticulata (guppy) is the source of this 3850-nucleotide non-coding RNA. The record is from RefSeq and is a predicted model, not a curated record. Lineage: Eukaryota; Metazoa; Chordata; Actinopteri; Cyprinodontiformes; Poeciliidae.
GAAUUUGAAGGAAUUUUUCCGUUUUUAGUUUUACAGGUAUUUGUACCGUAUUUUCCAUUUUACGCAUUGCAUCAUGGGAACAAGAACCUUCGCGAAGCGCAAAAACUGGUCAGACGACAUUUCAAGCUCGAUAACCGGACCCUGGAACAUAUAUCUUUUGGACUUCGGUUGGAUUAAGAGACGGAGUUACCAUUCUGCCACCUCCCUGCUGCAUCCAGACACUCCUGAACUUUUCCUGGAAAGCAACUAGCAGGGCUUAAAAAAAAAUCCUGAGCCUGAAACUUGUAGUGGUGAUAGAAAUAAACUGUAUCAUUGCUAUUGCCACUUUUUUAAUAAAAAUUGUCUCUGAAUAGUGCGAACAAUACAAUUAACAAGAAAAACACUCAUACUUAACAGUGCAUUUUAACUCAAAACAAAAUGUAAGAUUAACCUUACAGGCAAAAAUCCCUCAACAAUAAAUAAGAGUCCUUUCUGUCAAUGAUUUUUUCAAGUAAUUUAUAACAUGCAACAUUCCCAACUAAAUGAAUAAGUUAUACAAAGCUGGCUAAAGGACUUAAUGUUUUUAUUUUUUAUCAUAACAUAGUCCUGUAAGAGAUCCAAACCACUUCUUUUUGAAUUUUUAACAGAGACGAUUUUAGUUGGAUUUGGAGAAGCGAAAUCUUUAAUCACUGCUACUUUGGAGGCUGAGGGUGUAGAAAGGACAGUUCUUGUUGACCCAGUAGUUUUGGUUGACUAGAGAAAAUGGGUGGUCCAAGAACAGUUUCUGCAGUUGAGUGAAGGAUACUAGUUGUUCCAGAUGAUGCUCUAAUGCAACCAUGUGCCCAGGCUGGAGCAGCAGAGGGGGCUAAGAGUCUAUUUGCCAAGAACACUAGAGGUUGUUUUGGUUGACUUUGAUGGUUGACUUAGAUGAGCAGGUUGGCUAAGUGCCCUGGAGGAAGUUUGAGCUGCAGACGAGGAGGAGGCUGUGCUUUUGUGAUUAUACAUCCUAAAUUUCUCUCUGGCUGGUCCUGGACUGUUCGCUGAUGCAGAAGGAGUUUUAUAUGCGCAUCCUAGUAAGACUUUAGUUGAAGCAGCUGCUUCAGUCAGCUUUUUAUGCCUGUUUGCAUGUUGCAUCUCCUUUUUCUUUUCCAUCUCUCUCUGAUAAGUCUGAUAUGCUAACAGACAUGAUCUUUUCAAUGGCUGGUCAAUAGUCAUGGUUGAAGCCGUCCACUGACUAGCCUUUAGGGUGGAUUUGAUUAUUGCAAGACCCUCAUACGUCUCAAUAUUCAUUGAGCAUCCAUCUGUCAUCCAUUAGAUUGAAAGAUCCUUCAACAAGUGGCCCCUUUAAAGAUGCUAAGCAAAGCUUUUACAAGCUUAUUAAGGACAGAAAAUCGUUCUCUUCCCUCCUGAUUUCUCAUAGACACAAUUGGGCUCCACCAGCCAACAUCAACACUUGAUUCCAUUUCAUUGUAGAGACGUGCCCGAGCAACCAGGUCAGCAUCAAUUUGGUAAGCCCGUACCUCUUCAUCAAGGUUGCCAAGCUCUUCUGGUGCAACAACAUUUGGUAAGGUCCUACCCAAGGUAUUUAAUGCUGUACAAACAGAGUCCUGGAUUAGAGAUGGACUGAGUGCAGACAGUGAUGUGAGUGUACUGUUAUUCAGAGGAAGGUUUUUUAGCAGAAACUCUGCUGCUUUCAUAUAUCCUUCUCUAAGGUUGCUGUAGACAGUCGAAACCCAUGCCUUCUUUUCAGCGCGUGCGUUGUUUAUCUUAGAGAAGCAGUACUGUCCAACACCCAGCCUCUUGUCUGAUAAGUGCAAGUCUCUACAACGCACAUCUGUUUUCAAGACCUCCUUCACACUUAGCCCAAUUGAGUGUGGUUUCAUAAACAUACUGAGUAGCUCCCUAACCACAGCAAACAUCUCAACAUGCAAUAAGUGCACCAUUGGCUUUUCAUGCUGCAGCUUCUUCAGAAAUUUCAGAAAAAUGGGAAGGACACCUGUGGGAGAAAGAAUAUUUCUGUUAAGCAAUUUACUGACAUCAUAUGUGCCACACCUGCAUGAGGAUGAUUUAAGGAAACCAAUUGAUUUAAAAUAUACCUAAUUGGUUAAUAUCACUACAAAAAUAUUGAUACAUCACCCUAUGUCAUAAGAGGACUUAAAAGGAAAGUUACAUAAUAGUAGCAGAAAUGUCAAACCCAUGUGUGGUACAAGCACACAGACUAGGCCUGUGAUCUUCAAUUUACUAAAGGCUUUAUAUGUUCAAGUUGGACAUUUCAUCUUGAUGCUGCAGGUUCAGCCAUAAAAAUACCCAAAUAUUAAUAUUUCAUCAAUAUCAGUAGAUUACUAUAACACUGAAAUGUCCAAACUCUAAAGAUCUAUCAUACAUUAAGUCCAUUUAUUUGUUCCAUUUACAUGUCCUGCUAAUAAUCAAUAAUACUUCUGAAGAUGUCAAAAAUAACCCUCAAUCUUUCAUAUUCUGUAAAGACCACACAAAUCUGUGCUUUCCUAUCUUUGUUUGCUUGAGUUCCUGUACAAGAAGCUGCGGUUUGCUGCUGUUGAAGAAGUUCUAUUCUUUCCCUUUCCUCAACAGAUACUGCGUUUCUCUGAAGUACCUGAGUGAUCAGCAAUCUGCAGCACACACACACCUCUUAAUCAGUAAAAUGAAAACUAUUAAUUGCUAAACAAAACAUCAUUGAACAUUUGUUUUUAUAUAUUUAUCACUGUCAAGUUAAAACAGCAAAUUUGUGAGUGCAUUACCAUCUCCACUCAACUGGCACGCGCCUCACAGGAAAUCAAGCGCACCAAUUUCUCUCACUCAGGCCUUCAGGAGCCUAUAAAGCAACUCGGCACACCUGUGUUCUGAAUAAUCCCUUCAGACAAAGAACUCAGCUUCAAGCUCCUACAGAGACACCACUGGUUUUCAACCUGCUUGGUGACCACUCUGUGUCCACUCUGACCACUCAAAUAAAAUUAUGGUGGUCUUGUAUUGUAAACGGAAGUAAUUUAAAGACAAAAGAAAAGAGAAAUAAAAGGAUGUCACUGAGAUGAGUUGUUCCUGCGUCUCUUUGAUGGGAGCAAGCCUUUUUCAAGUUUGGGCAGAAGCCGAGGCGGUUUGAAGGGCCCCAAAAACUUGAUAGUUGAAAACCAGUUGAAGACCACUUGGAAACCAGUUGGGAACCAACUGAAGACCAGAUGACAGUGAAAUUCUGAUAAAGGAGAGCUUCGACGAACCAACUCAAAGAGGACAUCAGGUCAUCGCAGCUUUACAAAUCCACAAUGGCUGAAGAAAUGUUUGGAAAAUCACUGAAACAAUUGAAGCUGGAUCGCACCAUGGCAAAAUCUUCCUUCACCAAGCAAGCAAACUUCCUGAGAAGAAAAGCUUCCAACAUGACGGAAAUGGAACUGCGAGAGGAGUUCAAAAAGCUAAGCUCUGAUGCCAGACAUGUAAGUGAUUCAAAUGAUGAUUACAAAGCUGGACUAUUAGCAGAGCUGGAAGAUGAAGCUGGUGAGCUUGAUAAACAGCAAGAAGCUGAUUUKGAAAAGACUAUUAAUGACUGUGAAUCAAAAUUAGAAGAAGUCAAACAAAUUGUUCAGUCUAAUUUGUGGAAAAAAUAUGGUCAAGAUGAGCUCUAUACUGCAAUCCAAGAGGCAGAAAAGGCAUGUAGUGUUGCUUCUGACAUAGAAGUCUUAACUGUGAACAAAAGUGCAUAUGAAGUGCAGCUGUCUUGUGGAGAAUAUGAUCCAGGAAUCUAUUAAGUUUUGUGACCUGGGAAAUAUGGAUUCCAGUACAAGAAAGGGACAAUAUAGAAGACAGAGUAAAACAAAUUAAAUUGAUGAAAAAUAAACUUCAAACAAGAAAAUCGCAGGCUGCA